AUUUAUAUAGUUUAAAAAAAACCUUGCAUUUUCAUUGCAAAAAUGAACUAUAUUCUAUAAAUA
RNAcentral lists this transfer RNA (63 nucleotides) under Hymaea magna. RNAcentral's name for it is "tRNA-Glu". The record is from RNAcentral. Lineage: Eukaryota; Metazoa; Arthropoda; Insecta; Coleoptera; Phloeostichidae.